This 253-nucleotide ribosomal RNA is filed under the name uncultured bacterium. Its description in RNAcentral is "partial 16S ribosomal RNA". It matches the Rfam family "Bacterial small subunit ribosomal RNA", at positions 524 to 776 of the family's 1533-position model. The record is from RNAcentral.
UACGAAGGGGGCUAGCGUUGCUCGGAAUCACUGGGCGUAAAGCGCACGUAGGCGGAUUGCUAAGUCAGGGGUGAAAUCCUGGAGCUCAACUCCAGAACUGCCUUUGAUACUGGCGAUCUUGAGUCCGGGAGAGGUGAGUGGAACUGCGAGUGUAGAGGUGAAAUUCGUAGAUAUUCGCAAGAACACCGGUGGCGAAGGCGGCUCACUGGCCCGGUACUGACGCUGAGGUGCGAAAGCGUGGGGAGCAAACAGG